RNAcentral lists this ribosomal RNA (497 nucleotides) under uncultured bacterium. RNAcentral describes it as "partial 16S ribosomal RNA". It matches the Rfam family "Bacterial small subunit ribosomal RNA", at positions 28 to 507 of the family's 1533-position model. The record is from RNAcentral.
GAUGAACGCUGGUGGCGUGCCUAAUACAUGCAAGUCGAGCGAACGGACGAGAAGCUUGCUUCUCUGAUGUUAGCGGCGGACGGGUGAGUAACACGUGGAUAACCUACCUAUAAGACUGGGAUAACUUCGGGAAACCGGAGCUAAUACCGGAUAAUAUUUUGAACCGCAUGGUUCAAAAGUGAAAGACGGUCUUGCUGUCACUUAUAGAUGGAUCCGCGCUGCAUUAGCUAGUUGGUAAGGUAACGGCUUACCAAGGCAACGAUGCAUAGCCGACCUGAGAGGGUGAUCGGCCACACUGGAACUGAGACACGGUCCAGACUCCUACGGGAGGCAGCAGUAGGGAAUCUUCCGCAACGGGCGAAAGCCUGACGGAGCAACGCCGCGUGAGUGAUGAAGGUCUUCGGAUCGUAAAACUCUGUUAUUAGGGAAGAACAUAUGUGUAAGUAACUGUGCACAUCUUGACGGUACCUAAUCAGAAAGCCACGGCUAACUACGUG